Molecule: transfer RNA, 71 nt
Filed under: Marmota monax (woodchuck)
Lineage: Eukaryota; Metazoa; Chordata; Mammalia; Rodentia; Sciuridae
Description: tRNA.Ala
Source: RNAcentral
GAGAUACGGCUCAGUUGGUAGAGUGCUUGCCUUGCAUGCACAAGGCCCUGGGUUCAGUCCCCAGCAACACA